GGUUCUGCAGCCAUGAAGAGGACCCCCCCCCGGAGCCUCUGGCGGAGCCCAGGACGCCCCCCCGCUGCCUGAAGGCCAAACGCAAGAGCGUCUGCGGCCGGCCCCGCAAGAGGCCGGCCCCCGACAGAGGUGCGCGGGUACGAGCGGGCGGGUCGUUCCACUGGGCUGAAACCGUCCCACAGCGUCGGCUGUUCCAGACCACAACAGUCCUCUGUCAGGAAACAUCUCCUUCUCUCAGUCUGGAAUGGCGCUCAAGCUGAUAUCCCCUGCUGUCCCAGCCCUUGUGCUGCUGCUUAUCCUGAAGAAAAGUCCCCUAAGCUUGUGCCCGCCAGGAUCGUGGCAUUUCUGCCACAAGUCCCCAAGCAGAGUAGAGGCUCGGCCCCAGGCUAAAGAGGGCGUGACCUCCCCUCCUUUUCUGCCACCUCCAGAGCUGCACUGUCUUCCCUUUAGCGUAGUAAACAAGAUGGAGCUGAGGUCUGACGGUGUCAGGUAUGACUUAGACACAACUCAUCUGAUUGCAAUUCUACACUUGUAACAGGGCUUAAAACUUCUGUUGUCAAUCUUUUUGUUGCUGCUGUGCUGUGUCUAGAUCAGGCAGUGAGGAGCUGUGCUGUGUCUAGAUCAGGCAGUGUGAGGAGCUGUGCUGUGUCUAGAUCAGGCAGUGAGGAGCUGUGCUGUGUCUAGAUCAGUCAGUGUGAGGAGCUGUGCUGUGUCUAGAUCAGUCAGUAUGAGGAGCUGUGCUGUGUCUAGAUCAGGCAGUGAGGAGCUGUGCUGUGUCUAGAUCAGUCAGUGUGGGAGAGCUGCUCAUGCGCUCAAAGCAACACUGUGCUAUGCUCUGUGCUGCUCUGACAGAGCUGUGUGAGGACGUGCCGGAGAAGAGGCGCAGGCUGUAUGGGGCGCAGAGUGACCUCAGAGACGGACACCCCAACACCCGAUUGGGGUCACUGGCCCUGUGGGAUGAGCGCCCGGAGUGGCCGGCGUUCCAGUCAGGGACAAUCCAGGCACAGGACAGGACAGCACAGGACAGCAGCAGCUCCCUGGACUCAGAGCUGAGCCUCAGUCUGCCUUCCUGGAGGACAGCUCCCUCUGCUGAGACCCCAGGAGGGCAAGAGCCGAGGACCCCUGGGGACAGCAGCUGGUGCUCCGCCUGCGGGGAGAGGACAGGCAGCGAGGAGGACGGCUCCUGC
This 1187-nucleotide long non-coding RNA is filed under the name Lepisosteus oculatus (spotted gar). RNAcentral's name for it is "lncRNA (ENSLOCG00000022323.1)". The record is from RNAcentral. Lineage: Eukaryota; Metazoa; Chordata; Actinopteri; Semionotiformes; Lepisosteidae.